GAUGAACGCUAGCUACAGGCUUAACACACGCAAGUCGAGGGGCAGCAUGAAAGGAACUUCGGUUCUUUUUGAUGGCGACCGGCGCACGGGUGCGUAACGCGUAUCGAACCUGCCUCAUACUCGGGGAUAGCCUUGCGAAAGUAAGAUUAAUACCCGGCGGUCUCGGAUGGCCGCAUGACUAUCCGAGUGAAGAUUUAUCGAUAUGAGAUGGCGAUGCGUCCCAUUAGCUAGUUGGUGAGGUAAUGGCUCACCAAGGCAUCGAUGGGUAGGGGUUCUGAGAGGAAGGUCCCCCACAUUGGAACUGAGACACGGUCCAAACUCCUACGGGAGGCAGCAGUGAGGAAUAUUGGUCAAUGGACGAAAGUCUGAACCAGCCAAGUAGCGUGCAGGAUGACGGCCCUCUGGGUUGUAAACUGCUUUUAGUUGGGAAUAAAAAGAGGGACGUGUCCCUUAUUGUAUGUACCAUCAGAAAAAGGACCGGCUAAUUCCGUGCCAGCAGCCGCGGUAAUACGGAAGGUCCAGGCGUUAUCCGGAUUUAUUGGGUUUAAAGGGAGCGCAGGCGGCGGCGUAAGUCAGUUGUGAAAUCGUGCGGCUUAACCGUGCAAUUGCAGUUGAUACUGCGUCGCUUGAGUGCACACAGGGAUGUUGGAAUUCAUGGUGUAGCGGUGAAAUGCUUAGAUAUCAUGAAGAACCCCGAUUGCGAAGGCAGCAUACUGGGCUAUAACUGACGCUGAAGCACGAAAGCGUGGGUAUCGAACAGG
Molecule: ribosomal RNA, 761 nt
Filed under: uncultured bacterium
Lineage: Bacteria
Description: bacterial SSU rRNA
Rfam family: Bacterial small subunit ribosomal RNA
Source: RNAcentral